This 467-nucleotide ribosomal RNA is filed under the name uncultured bacterium. Its description in RNAcentral is "partial 16S ribosomal RNA". It matches the Rfam family "Bacterial small subunit ribosomal RNA", at positions 28 to 507 of the family's 1533-position model. The record is from RNAcentral.
GACGAACGCUGGCGGCGUGCUUAACACAUGCAAGUCGAACGGAAAGGCCCUGCUUUUGUGGGGUGCUCGAGUGGCGAACGGGUGAGUAACACGUGAGUAACCUGCCCUUGACUUUGGGAUAACUUCAGGAAACUGGGGCUAAUACCAGAUAGGAGCUCCUGCUGCAUGGUGGGGGUUGGAAGUUUCGGCGGUUGGGGAUGGACUCGCGGCUUAUCAGCUUGUUGGUGGGGUAGUGGCUUACCAAGGCUUUGACGGGUAGCCGGCCUGAGAGGGUGACCGGCCACAUUGGGACUGAGAUACGGCCCAGACUCCUACGGGAGGCAGCAGUGGGGAAUAUUGCACAAUGGGCGGAAGCCUGAUGCAGCAACGCCGCGUGCGGGAUGACGGCCUUCGGGUUGUAAACCGCUUUCGCCUGUGACGAAGCGUGAGUGACGGUAAUGGGUAAAGAAGCACCGGCUAACUACGUG